CCCUUAGAUGUUCUGGGCUGCACACGUGCUACACUGGCAGGUUCAGCGAGCUUCAUGCCCUGAUCUGAAAGGAAUGGGAAAUCUUUUCAAAACCUGCCGUGCUUGGGAUAGAUGUUUGCAAUUAUUCAUCUUCAACGAGGAUUGCCUUGUAAGCGCACGUCAUCAGCGUGCAUUGAAUACGACCCUGUAUUCUGUACACACCGCCCGUCGCUCCUACCGAUUGAAGUUUUCGGUGAGUUGACAGGAGGAUUUUUUUGAAACUGGUUCGCCGGUGGAUUUUAGAUCCAAAUGCCAACGAAUCGAUGGCUUUAGAGGAGGGAGAAGUCGUAACA
RNAcentral lists this ribosomal RNA (332 nucleotides) under uncultured eukaryote. RNAcentral describes it as "partial 18S ribosomal RNA". It matches the Rfam family "Eukaryotic small subunit ribosomal RNA", at positions 1470 to 1796 of the family's 1831-position model. The record is from RNAcentral.